AACAAGAAGUAAGAAAAAACUCGUGGAUCAAACGUUGCAAUUUCUCUACAAAACUUAAGUAUUCAAAUCUAAAUCAUCAAGAUUCAAGAUCAAGACCACAAGAUUCAAGAACAAGCCCAAAAACUCUUGAAUUCAAAUACAUGUCAAGAUCAAAUCCAUUAAAUCCGCAAAUCAAGCUCAAAUUCAAGAUCAAGCUCGAAGCUCUUGAGUUUAUAUUUAGAAAGGAGAAUCGGAG
This 235-nucleotide long non-coding RNA is filed under the name Capsicum annuum. Its description in RNAcentral is "long non-coding RNA (CANN_LNC015668)". Lineage: Eukaryota; Viridiplantae; Streptophyta; Magnoliopsida; Solanales; Solanaceae. The record is from RNAcentral.